Molecule: long non-coding RNA, 396 nt
Organism: Sander lucioperca (pikeperch)
Lineage: Eukaryota; Metazoa; Chordata; Actinopteri; Perciformes; Percidae
Exons: 2
Source: RefSeq, a predicted model, not a curated record
CUAAUGUGGGAAAAUGUUUUCUCAGAGUAGCCACCUUAAAAGUCACCAGCGCAUUCACACUGGAGAGAAGCUGUACUGCUGUGAUCAAUGUGGGAAAACGUUUUCUCAGAGUAGCCACCUUAAAAGUCACCAGUGGAUUCACACUGGAGAGAAGUUGUACUGGUGUGAUCAAUGUGGGAAAACGUUUGCUCGUAGUGGUAGCCUUUACUCUCACCAGCGCAUUCACAUUGGAGAGAAGCCGUACUGGUGUGAACAAUGUGGAAAAAGUUUUCUGAGAGUAGUCACCUUAAAUCUCACCAGCUCAUUCACACUGCCUCGUAGUGAACAUGUUUCAGAGCCAAGCUGUUUCCUCCUGCCUCCUCCUCAUGCCCUGAUAGCUGUGUUGUUAUAUUCUGA